This 66-nucleotide transfer RNA is filed under the name Spilarctia subcarnea. RNAcentral's name for it is "tRNA-Cys". The record is from RNAcentral. Lineage: Eukaryota; Metazoa; Arthropoda; Insecta; Lepidoptera; Erebidae.
AGUCUUAUAGUCAAAAAUGAUAUGAAAUUGCAAAUUUUAAGGAGUAAUUAAAAUAUACUAAGGCUU